RNAcentral lists this ribosomal RNA (468 nucleotides) under uncultured bacterium. Its description in RNAcentral is "partial 16S ribosomal RNA". It matches the Rfam family "Bacterial small subunit ribosomal RNA", at positions 28 to 507 of the family's 1533-position model. The record is from RNAcentral.
GACGAACGCUGGCGGCGUGCUUAACACAUGCAAGUCGAACGGAAAGGCCCUGCUUUUGUGGGGUGCUCGAGUGGCGAACGGGUGAGUAACACGUGAGUAACCUGCCCUUGACUUUGGGAUAACUUCAGGAAACUGGGGCUCAUACCGGAUAGGAGCUCCUGCUGCAUGGUGGGGGUUGGAAAGUUUCGGCGGUUGGGGAUGGACUCGCGGCUUAUCAGCUUGUUGGUGGGGUAGUGGCUUACCAAGGCUUUGACGGGUAGCCGGCCUGAGAGGGUGACCGGCCACAUUGGGACUGAGAUACGGCCCAGACUCCUACGGGAGGCAGCGGUGGGGAAGAUUGCACAAUGGGCGGAAGCCGGAUGCAGCAACGCCGCGUGCGGGAUGACGGCCUUCGGGUUGUAAACCGCUUUCGCCUGUGACGAAGCGUGAGUGACGGUAAUGGGUAAAGAAGCACCGGCUAACUACGUG